GACGAACGCGGCGGCGUGCCUAAUACAUGCAAGUCGAACGAGAGCGACCGGUGCUUGCACUGGUCAAUCUAGUGGCGAACGGGUGAGUAACACGUGGGUAACCUGCCCAUCAGAGGGGGAUAACAUUCGGAAACGGAUGCUAAAACCGCAUAGGUUCUACAGUCGCAUGACUGAAGAAGGAAAAGAGGCUUCGGCUUCUGCUGAUGGAUGGACCCGCGGUGCAUUAGCUAGUUGGUGAGGUAACGGCUCACCAAGGCCGUGAUGCAUAGCCGACCUGAGAGGGUGAUCGGCCACAUUGGGACUGAGACACGGCCCAAACUCCUACGGGAGGCAGCAGUAGGGAAUCUUCCGCAAUGGACGCAAGUCUGACGGAGCAACGCCGCGUGAGUGAAGAAGGAUUUCGGUUCGUAAAACUCUGUUGUUAGAGAAGAACAGCGCAUAGAGUAACUGUUAUGCGUGUGACGGAUCUAACCA
RNAcentral lists this ribosomal RNA (474 nucleotides) under Granulicatella elegans. RNAcentral's name for it is "bacterial SSU rRNA". It matches the Rfam family "Bacterial small subunit ribosomal RNA", at positions 28 to 485 of the family's 1533-position model. Lineage: Bacteria; Bacillati; Bacillota; Bacilli; Lactobacillales; Carnobacteriaceae. The record is from RNAcentral.